RNAcentral lists this ribosomal RNA (119 nucleotides) under Pteropus alecto (black flying fox). The record is from RNAcentral. Lineage: Eukaryota; Metazoa; Chordata; Mammalia; Chiroptera; Pteropodidae.
GUCUAUGGCCAUGCCACUCUGAAUGUGCUCCAUCUCGUCUGAUCUCAGAAGCUAAGCAGGGUCGGGCCUGGUUAGUACUUGGAUGGGAGAACAGCUAGGAAUAGCAGAUGCAGUAGGCG